RNAcentral lists this ribosomal RNA (468 nucleotides) under uncultured bacterium. Its description in RNAcentral is "partial 16S ribosomal RNA". It matches the Rfam family "Bacterial small subunit ribosomal RNA", at positions 28 to 507 of the family's 1533-position model. The record is from RNAcentral.
GACGAACGCUGGCGGCGUGCUUAACACAUGCCAGUCGAACGGAAAGGCCCUGCUUUUGUGGGGUGCUCGAGUGGCGAACGGGUGAGUAACACGUGAGUAACCUGCCCUUGACUUUGGGAUAACUUCAGGAAACUGGGGCUAAUACCGGAUAGGAGCUCCUGCUGCAUGGUGGGGGUUGGAAAGUUUCGGCGGUUGGGGAUGGAUUCGCGGCUUAUCAGCUUGUUGGUGGGGUAGUGGCUUACCAAGGCUUUGACGGGUAGCCGGCCUGAGAGGGUGACCGGCCACAUUGGGACUGAGAUACGGCCCAGACUCCUACGGGAGGCAGCAGUGGGGAAUAUUGCACAAUGGGCGGAAGCCUGAUGCAGCAACGCCGCGUGCGGGAUGACGGCCUUCGGGUUGUAAACCGCUUUCGCCUGUGACGAAGCGUGAGUGACGGUAAUGGGUAAAGAAGCACCGGCUAACUACGUG